GCAAUUCACGGUGAGAGGCGCACGCGACGGGCUGGCAGCGCCAGAAUAUGUGUCCAGAGGCGUCGCCGCAUGCCAACCUCCGCCCUUGUACGGGCCGCGCCGAGUGCCGUGAGAAGGGGGAGCGAGGCCGCAGCCACAGCAGCAACCACACUUGUGCUCCUGUCUGUCAGCCCAUCUAGCGGUCGAUGCAGCGGGCCAGGCUCCAGGCCCACUGCUUCACACUCAGCGCGGGAGCUGCAAGCAAGGAGGAGGGGGGAGACACAGCCUCCAAUCACCGCACCUAUGGGGUGUAUGACCUCUUACGAAGCAUCGCAGUCGCUCCUGAUUUUUGUGUUUGCCUACACCGCGCCAUUCACCCAGAGCGGAGAAAAGGAGGCUCGAAAAAGUGUGAGAGUUGCUGCCUGCGCGCCGCUGUUUUUUCCUCGGCCGGGGUGCUUUCCUGCAGCCCGCCAGGGAGUGACGUGCUGAAGUGCACGAGAAUGCCGCACGUGUGGGAAGUGCGUGCGCGCGGAGCCCCGAAGCGGUCGAUGCCCGCAUACACGCGUGCGAGCCGCCGCUGUGCUUGGGCAACACCUUCAUUCGGCGCGUACGCCCCCGGCGCCAAAUACGCACGGCGGCCUCUCCGAGCGGGUCUCGGCCGUCUGCGCGCCAUUCGCCUACCCACGGUGGCCGCGGCCGCUUUGGGCACGAAGGUGGUGUCAACGGCCCUCCUGCCGUUGGCGCUGGCACCGUCCCGCCGCGCGGCGGCACCGCAAAGCAGCCGCCGUGCGAGCAGCGCCACGCCGAAAGGGCAGAGCAGACCCUCUGACAGACCCCGCUCGCGCGAGCACACCGCCCUACGCCUGGCAAGCCGAGCCCUGGCUCCUUUGAUGGCUCCUGCAACGUGCCGGCCAGUGUCGCGCAUGGGUUGGAGGUCUACGCCGGGAAGGCGGAAGGGGCAGCGAUCCUCCUCCGGGCACGCGCGUGCAACGAGCCGUGUCCCUCCCGGAAAUGGACAGUGAGCUUGGCCGCGUCGUGAACAGUUCGCACUGUGGUGGCGGCGGCCCAGUCGUAGAUGGACUCGUGGAGCACCAGCGCAACGCCCCCGACUAUGCGUUUGUGGUGUGCUGCAUCGAGGUGUCCGUAUCGCUUGCGCAGAUCAAGUAUUUGUUGUCGCGCCCAUCCAGCAGAGUAGCUCAAGUCUGGUUUAGUCGUUGUGUUUGUUACCGCACUGGGUUGUACGAUUCGGGAGCCGUUCUAGGAGCGUGAGGACCGAAUGCAACAUCGCUGGGUAUCUGAACGAGAACUUCCCGUGUUACCAGGACGGUCGUAGGUACGUAGUCGGGCCUGAGGGGUGCAUCCGUCGGAGGAGGGUCAUCUCAGCAAAGCCACACCGUCACUCCUGCAACCUCGUCCUGGCGAACAGAGGAGGGCCUAUUGCCUAUACGUGCAUCCUCGUGCAUGAGCAGGGAGAGGCCGCGGUCGUGCUUCUUUUCCCUCGCUACAUGGGAAUGCUGAAACGCCGAGAAAUGGCGUGCCGCACAGGCCUGUUGGGGUGUGUAUGGAGUGCAUCUCCAGCAGAAUGCAGACUUGUAUCGGGGGUGCACCAGGAAACGGGGCUAAGGACCCGCGCCAGCGUAGCCCAGCACAAUCUACCUGCAUUGCAUAGAGGGCGCAGUAGGUGGGAAAUCACGCUCGGCACCACUACAACGCACCAAAAGCUAACAAAGAGCAGGUGGAUGCGCACGCUUGUUGGAUUGCCGAGACGAUCUGUGGUGAGCUGUGGCACACCUGUGAUUAUGGCUGCGUGCCUCUUUAGGCACAGCGCCAGCCCAAGCCUGUCUGCUGGCACAAAGAGUCCAGAACCGUACUCAACGGCAGCCUGCAGGCUCUUGGCUUCCCCAGAAAGAGAGGGCAGUAGACCCUGAAGUGCCACAAACUGUGGUGUGCCCGGCCGGCAUCAGGGAAAGGAACACCCCGCGACUCGUAGAAGUCUUUCAGCAGCCUCACAUCUCGUUCAAUGCUCUCUCGCUUUUUGUUUCGCUCUCGUG
This 2030-nucleotide unclassified non-coding RNA is filed under the name Leishmania donovani. RNAcentral describes it as "gene:unknown". The record is from RNAcentral. Lineage: Eukaryota; Euglenozoa; Kinetoplastea; Trypanosomatida; Trypanosomatidae.